This is a long non-coding RNA of Ailuropoda melanoleuca (giant panda), 2781 nucleotides long. The record is from Ensembl. NCBI's taxonomy places the organism in Eukaryota, Metazoa, Chordata, Mammalia, Carnivora, Ursidae.
AAUGUGUCUGCCUGUGCUUGAUAUUGUUCUAUCAUGUUGGGUCCCCCUCCCCCAGGCACGGCAUUUGGAUUGGUUACAGAAUACGGCUGCUCAGCCAAUCCAGCGAAACCUUUCUCCUGCAACCCUAGCAACACCUGACAAUGGUCAUUGACAAAUGUUAAGAGAAAAAUCCCUGACAAAUCCAACCAGCCAUGAACGUGGUUUCUGUCGAGGGCAAACAGCUAGUCCUGCCCACAGAGCACUUUGCAUGGCCAGAGGACAUAGUGGUCUGUGCCAGACCUGCGAAAACAGAACCCGUUUGUGGAUGCCUACCUCAGUCUGCUGCCACUUAGGAGAAGCUGACUGUGGUUGACAAGUCAGUGUCAAGACAAAGACCUGGGGAUAUAUACAGCCAUUUGCACACACAGAAAUAACGCACACACAGAGAUAAAGCGAGGUAAGAGGAACAAAGGUGGAAUAAGGUGGGGAAGAGAAGGGAAAAGGAAACUUCGGGGACAGACAAGAACUGAAGAAUGUGCAACCCAAGAUGUUCAUUCAGUGCUUCCCACCCACAUCCCAGAGACGCUCUCCUUAUUAGCACCACCCCGAAGUGCCUGUCCUGAAUUUCAUUUUCCCUGGGGGUUAGGGGAGGGGUUGGCAGUCAGUUUAAUUCUGUAGAAUUAUAAAUUGAUAAAGGCCACAAGUCUUAGCCUUCCAGGGGAUACUGAUGCUUUUCAAAGGGGGGGCUCAUGAAGGUCCAAAAGAUCCAAAUCUAGAAGAGUUGAAUUGUACAUCGAGCGGAAUAUCUUCAGUCUGGAGAUAGAGCCUCGCUCAAACACAUUUUUAAGGGAGAUGGCCUCUGGAAACUCCUAAAGCCAGAAUUACAGGUCAGAAAAAGUAGUUGGAGUAGGUAAGGCAGGGAAGUGCAGGGGCGAGCCAGCCCUCAACUGCAGCAGGCUGGACGUCCAUGCAGAAACGAACCAGGAGUAGGUGUUAAAAUCUGACAUACCUGCCUUUCAGGGAAACUUUCUGGUGACAUAAGAUAUGGAAAAUUACAAUAAAGAGUAUUAUACAAUGUGUUCAAAACCAAGCCUUAUAUAGCCAUAUACAUGCACGUAGUUCUCAGAUUCUGAAAGAAAUUAAGCUAUUCUGAGAGGAGGUAAAAUUGUGGACAUUUGCUGAUUGAAGAAACAAAACAAUUUUCUUCCUUUCCCAGAUUUUUCAAGUUUGUCAGUUAUUACUGGUCAAGAGUUCUGUGGGUAUGAGCAACUAUCAACUACCAAGACUACGGACAACAACAAUAAAAAGCAACAUCCAAUGUUUAUUUAUUGCUCUGGAAGUUAAGAAAUUAAAAAAAAAUUUUAUGUACCUGUGAAACAGAGAAAGAAAAAUAUAAAAUUGACGAUGUAUAUAGUAUGAUUCUUUGUACCCCAAUGUGCCAGUGUGUCAGAAAAGGCCAGAGUGUGUGCAGGAGCUGAAGCUUGCUGAAGGAGCACAGAGGAAGGAGGUGAAGGUUCUCAUUUAGAGUGGACAACUCAUGUGCCACAGUUUGAACUUGACUUAGGGAUAAACCAAGAGCCCACAUCUGGGACAUGGCAUGUUUAUCUCUAAAGUAGCAGUGUGGAGGCGGAGGGAUUCCUGGCCAAGAACAAUGUCUGGCCCAUUCUAGGCACAAAAAUAAGUAUUUGUUGAUGACACAGAAGCCCUGCCUCCAAAUCAACAUUCUCACAACUCACCAAUACGAUCGAAGGAGGAAAACUCUAGAACCCCAAGAGAAACCCAUUCCCCCCCUCUUAAUCUCCAAGAGAUUAUUGUUUCCUAUUUCCAUGGUAACUAGAAGACCCAUAAUUGCCCAAAUUUGAGAGAGACUUCACAUGAAAGCCAGAAAAUAAAAAUUAACAAGAGACAAAUGUUAUAGACAGCAUUUUUGACAGUGCACAAGGUUUCUGAAAUUUGGGAAGGCUUGGGAUCACACAACGAUGUCCAGAAUAUAGCAGUGCCACUUCCUCCCAUGCUGCUAAACGUUCAUCGAGUAGAUUUUAUUCUUUUCUUCAAAGGAAAGGAGAGACCCAUGGGCCUUGACAGCAAUUUAGUGAAGGUAAGCUGUUCGAAAUUGCUCUCCUGGCAAGCUCUGAUGUUAGCCACAAUGCGGAGGCCAGGCUGGCCGAGGUGCCCCUGCUCCCUGCCUUCCAUGGACUGAACACGUAUUUAUUGAGCAUCUAUUUUCUCGGUAAUCUAUUCUACACACCACUGAACGAAAACUUACAACUCCGAUAAGAGCUAGGAGAAGUACAAGUCACUGCUAGAGUGUGUAAGAAGUGGAGCGGCCAGCCCGUCCUACGGAAGUGUGAUUAAGCUGAUUAGGAGGAAACUGGGCAGUGGUUUCUGGGCCUGGGGAGGGAGAGCAUUCCAGGCAGUGGGAACUCUUGGGCUGAGCCCCUCUGGAGGAAGUGAGCCUUGAGUGUUCAAGGAACUGAAAGCAGGCCUGAGCAGCCUGUGUUGGCAGAACCCCAGAGAGUGAGGGGAAUGAACUUGGGGCCAGGCCUGUUGGAGAUGUGAGCAGGAGCCAGGUCAUUCUCAGUGCAUAGCCUCGAGUCCGGCAGGGUGGGUUCAUGAAGGAUUCUAGUGUCUAUCUCUCCUCAUUCCAGGGUGAACUCAAGCUGGAGCAGGAAUGCAUGACAGGCCCUUCUUUGUGUGUGAUCUGGGAAUGGCAGCUUCUGGUUCAUCUGAAAUCCAUCAGAAUACUGCCGUAAAUUCCAGAUCUGAACCACCAAGUUUCAAAGGAUUAUAAUUUCAUGAAAU